UGACAGUACUCCUACGGGGAGGCAGCAGUGGGGGAAUAUUGCACAAUGGGCGCAAGCCUGAUGCAGCCAUGCCGCGUGUGUGAAGAAGGCCUUCGGGUUGUAAAGCACUUUCAGUCGUGAGGAAGGUAGUGUAGUUAAUAGCUGCAGUAUUUGACGUUAGCGACAGAAGAAGCACCGGCUAACUCCGUGCCAGCAGCCGCGGUAAUACGGAGGGUGCGAGCGUUAAUCGGAAUUACUGGGCGUAAAGCGCAUGCAGGUGGUUUGUUAAGUCAGAUGUGAAAGCCCGGGGCGUCAACCUCGGAAUAGCAUUUGUAAACUAGGCAGACUAGAGUACUGUAGAGGGGGGUAGGAAUUUCAGGUGUAGCGGUGAAAUGCGUAGAGAUCUGAAGGAAUACCGGUGGCGAAGGCGGCCCCCUGGACAGAUACUGACACUCAGAUGCGAAAGCGUGGGGAGCAAACAGGAUUAGAUACCCUGGUAG
RNAcentral lists this ribosomal RNA (479 nucleotides) under uncultured bacterium. Its description in RNAcentral is "bacterial SSU rRNA". It matches the Rfam family "Bacterial small subunit ribosomal RNA", at positions 328 to 793 of the family's 1533-position model. The record is from RNAcentral.